This 81-nucleotide transfer RNA is filed under the name Spiranthes sinensis. RNAcentral's name for it is "tRNA-Cys". Lineage: Eukaryota; Viridiplantae; Streptophyta; Magnoliopsida; Asparagales; Orchidaceae. The record is from RNAcentral.
UUUGUUGAUCAGGCGACACCCAGAUUCGAACUGGGGAUAAAGAAUUUGCAGUCCCCUGCCUUACCGCUUGGCCAUGUCGCC